Molecule: long non-coding RNA, 1512 nt
Filed under: Betta splendens (Siamese fighting fish)
Lineage: Eukaryota; Metazoa; Chordata; Actinopteri; Anabantiformes; Osphronemidae
Description: lncRNA (ENSBSLG00000004927.1)
Source: RNAcentral
GUUAAACCUCAAAGUGUGUCCUGGGGGAGAGGGCUCCCAGCCAGAGGUACGUCCAUCAGUUUGAAAACUGUAUUUAUGCCAUUACUUCCAAUAAAUAGUAUUUGAAUAACAUCACUAUUUUAAUAUAAUUAUACAAUGAUUUGGAGCUUUAUUCCAUUCAGUUGAUUGUAUUAUUUAUAUCUACAAACAGAGGCUUUGACAGGUGAUUGGUUUAUUUAUUUCUCAAGUUUCUUAUUUAAAUUAUUUCUCGUUUUUUUAAGCUGUUGGUGUUGGAGUAAAACCUGGAGGUCAGUGGUUUUCUAAGCCGACACCAAUCUAAUGUUACCUAAUGAGAGAUGAGUUCCACCACCAACUCCUCCUUUCCCUCUUCACAGUGACAGGAGCUCUUGGUGCACUGGGCAGUCGAUACGGCAGCAAAGCCAUGAAGACUGGAAGUACGUUACGCGUCUGAGAACUGCAUGCUCAAAUAUUACCUCUGAUUAAGCUGUAUUUGAAUUUGCUUUUCUUGAACGCAGUUGGCCGUUACCCAGCGGCUCACCUUGGUGUUGGUAAGUUGCCUAAUAGAGGCUUCUUUCUAAUACAAAUAAUUGCUUCAGCUGUAUUACAAAGUAAAAUAUAACUGUGAUGCCUUUUAGGCGGCUACAGAGGACUUGGAUUAGGAGGUAGAGCUGGUCUGAGGCAGGGGACCCCAGGAGCCUAUGGUGCCAGUCUGGGCACAGGAAUGGCUCUGGGGGCUGGACUGAGCAAUGGGCUGGGCCUGGGUCAGGCAGGAAAACGCGGUGAGAGACAUAAAGGCCCUAAUACGUUAUAUAUAGAUGCUUGUAACAAAUCAACAGGCUGCGAACGCAGUGUUUAUGUGAACUAAUGUCAUGUUUGGAAGUCUUUUUGCACGCUCAGCAGAACGGGUCACCAUUUACACAAACAGUGUCAUGAUCAAACCUUAAAUAAGGUCUGUUUUGUGUCUUUUUAGUCUAUGGAGCUGGACUUGGCUCUUUACCUGGAUACGGGCCGUUCGCUGGCAUUGGAUAUCCUGGAGCCAGACCCGGUUACAUUGGGGGAGCAGGGAGCUACCUGGGUGCGGCCUUGGGCGCUGGGGGCUACGGAACAGGUAACUGGGCAUUACAACACGAGAAAGCUGCUGAUUAGCAGAUGCAGAUACAGAUGCAGAUGCAGUACAUUUAACUCCCGUCCACAGGUUUGGGACAGGGAGCGUACCUGGGCGGUGCAGCUGGGAAGCUGGGAGCUGCCGCGGCGCUCGGACAGGGAGGCUAUCCCCAAGGUGCUGCAGGGAUUUCAAACGGUGCGUGCGUCCUCUGCUCGCUGUGGAUUCUAAAUUUCCGAUCCUUCUACACUGGUGUUCGAUUUCACUUUGAGUGUGACUGGAGGUCGUUGACUCCUACUUUGCCUUGUAAACGAAUCAUUUGAUUUCAUCUGCACUUUGCAUGAAAUGCCUGAGAAUAAGUUGCUUUAAAUCUGUUAAGCUGAAUAAAUGAGGGCGCUUUUUUGUGGCCA